UCGUGGGUGACUGCGAAUCUGGAGGAAGCCGAGGGCAAAGCGCUGGCCUGACGAACAAGAAGCGGAUAUGAGGCGGCACGGCGGGGUAAGGCGGCCAUUAUCGUCGAAGUCCGUGUUAGACGACAAUUAACCUGUCCGGUCAGGCGACAAUUAUCUUGAC
This 160-nucleotide unclassified non-coding RNA is filed under the name Nitrosomonas sp. Nm51. The record is from RNAcentral. Lineage: Bacteria; Pseudomonadati; Pseudomonadota; Betaproteobacteria; Nitrosomonadales; Nitrosomonadaceae.